ACUGCUCAGUAACACGUCGUUAACCUGCCCUAAAGUCCUGGAUAACCUUGGGAAACUGAGGCUAAUAUGGGAUAGGGGAAGGAUUCUGGAAUGAACCUUCCUGCAAAGGCAACGCUUUAGGAUGGGACGGCGGCCGAUUAGGUUGUUGGCGGGGUAACGGCCCACCAAGCCGGAGAUCGGUAGGGGCCUUGAGAGAGGUAGCCCCGAGAAGGGAACUUAGACACUGUCCCUAGCCCUACGGGGUGCAGCAGGCGCGAAACCUUUACACUACACGAAAGUGUGAUAAGGGGAUCCCAAGUGCUUAUGUUUAACAUAGGCUUUUGCCAAGAGUAAGUAUCUUGGCGAAUAAGUGGUGGGCAAGACUGGUGCCAGCCGCCGCGGUAACCCCAGCGCCACAAGUGGUAGCCAGUUUUAUUGGGCCUAAAGCGUCCGUAGCCGGCUCGGUCUAUCUCCUGUGAAAUUGCCUGGCUUAACUAGGCAACGUGCAGGAGACACUGCCGAGCUUGGGACCGGAAGGAGUCAGAGGUAUGCUCGGGGGAGCGGUAAAAUGCUAUAAUCCCGAGUGGACCACCUGUGGCGAAGGCGUCUGACUAGGACGGAUCCGACGGUGAGGGACGAAAGCCAGGGGAGCAAUCCGGAUUAGAUACCCGAGUAGUCCUGGCUGUAAACGCUGCGAGCUAGGUGUCGCGCAUUCCCCGAGAAUGCGCGGUGUCGGAGCGAAGGCGUUAAGCUCGCCGCCUGGGAAGUAUGGCCGCAAGGCUGAAACUUAAAGGAAUUGGCGGGGGAG
Molecule: ribosomal RNA, 787 nt
Filed under: uncultured archaeon
Lineage: Archaea
Description: bacterial SSU rRNA
Rfam family: Archaeal small subunit ribosomal RNA
Source: RNAcentral